CGUGAACCUUUACUAUAGCUUGACACUGAACAUUGAGCCUUGAUGUGUAGGAUAGGUGGGAGGCUUUGAAGUGUGGACGCCAGUCUGCAUGGAGCCGACCUUGAAUACCACCCUUUAAUGUUUGAUGUUCUAACGUGGACCCGUGAUCCGGGUUGCGGACAGUGUCUGGUGGGUAGUUUGACUGGGGCGGUCUCCUCCUAAA
This 202-nucleotide ribosomal RNA is filed under the name Shigella flexneri. Its description in RNAcentral is "partial 23S ribosomal RNA". It matches the Rfam family "Bacterial large subunit ribosomal RNA", at positions 2092 to 2294 of the family's 2925-position model. The record is from RNAcentral. Lineage: Bacteria; Pseudomonadati; Pseudomonadota; Gammaproteobacteria; Enterobacterales; Enterobacteriaceae.